Molecule: ribosomal RNA, 460 nt
Filed under: uncultured bacterium
Lineage: Bacteria
Description: partial 16S ribosomal RNA
Rfam family: Bacterial small subunit ribosomal RNA
Source: RNAcentral
CCUACGGGAGGCAGCAGUGAGGAAUAUUGGUCAAUGGGCGCGAGCCUGAACCAGCCAAGUCGCGUGAGGGAUGAAGGUUCUAUGGAUCGUAAACCUCUUUUAUAAGGGAAUAAAGUGUGGGACGUGUCCUGUUUUGUAUGUACCUUAUGAAUAAGGAUCGGCUAACUCCGUGCCAGCAGCCGCGGUAAUACGGAGGAUCCGAGCGUUAUCCGGAUUUAUUGGGUUUAAAGGGUGCGUAGGCGGCCUUUUAAGUCAGCGGUGAAAGUCUGUGGCUCAACCAUAGAAUUGCCGUUGAAACUGGGAGGCUUGAGUAUGUUUGAGGCAGGCGGAAUGCGUGGUGUAGCGGUGAAAUGCUUAGAUAUCACGCAGAACCCCGAUUGCGAAGGCAGCCUGCCAAGCCAUGACUGACGCUGAUGCACGAAAGCGUGGGGAUCAAACAGGAUUAGAUACCCCAGUAGUC